Molecule: ribosomal RNA, 468 nt
Filed under: uncultured bacterium
Lineage: Bacteria
Description: partial 16S ribosomal RNA
Rfam family: Bacterial small subunit ribosomal RNA
Source: RNAcentral
GACGAACGCUGGCGGCGUGCUUAACACAUGCAAGUCGAACGGAAAGGCCCUGCUUUUGUGGGGUGCUCGAGUGGCGAACGGGUGAGUAACACGUGAGUAACCUGCCCUUGACUUUGGGAUAACUUCAGGAAACUGGGGCUAAUACCGGAUAGGAGCUCCUGCUGCAUGGUGGGGGUUGGAAAGUUUCGGCGGUUGGGGAUGGACUCGCGGCUUAUCAGCUUGUUGGUGGGGUAGUGGCCUACCAAGGCUUUGACGGGUAGCCGGCCUGAGAGGGUGACCGGCCACAUUGGGACUGAGAUACGGCCCAGACUCCUACGGGAGGCAGCAGUGGGGAAUAUUGCACAAUGGGCGGAAGCCUGAUGCAGCAACGCCGCGUGCGGGAUGACGGCCUUCGGGUUGUAAACCGCUUUCGCCGGUGACGAAGCGUGAGUGACGGUAAUGGGUAAAGAAGCACCGGCUAACUACGUG